GGAUGCGAUCAUACCAGCACUAAAGCACCGGAUCCCAUCAGAACUCUGAAGUUAAGCGUGCUUGGGCGAGGGUAGUACUAGGAUGUGUGACCUCCUGGGAAGUCCUCGUGUUGCAUUCC
RNAcentral lists this ribosomal RNA (119 nucleotides) under Triticum aestivum (bread wheat). Lineage: Eukaryota; Viridiplantae; Streptophyta; Magnoliopsida; Poales; Poaceae. The record is from RNAcentral.